ACGCUCGACACCUACGGGAGGCAGCAGUGGGGAAUAUUGCACAAUGGGGGAAACCCGUGAUGCAGCAACGCCGCGUGAGUGAAGAAGUAUUUCGGUAUGUAAAGCUCUAUCAGCAGGGAAGAAAAUGACGGUACCUGACUAAGAAGCCCCGGCUAACUACGUGCCACAGCCGCGGUAAUCUGAGCGGGCUGGCAAGGC
Molecule: ribosomal RNA, 198 nt
Filed under: uncultured bacterium
Lineage: Bacteria
Description: partial 16S ribosomal RNA
Rfam family: Bacterial small subunit ribosomal RNA
Source: RNAcentral